Long non-coding RNA from Balaenoptera ricei (Rice's whale), 216 nucleotides. RefSeq lists it as uncharacterized. The record is from RefSeq and is a predicted model, not a curated record. NCBI's taxonomy places the organism in Eukaryota, Metazoa, Chordata, Mammalia, Artiodactyla, Balaenopteridae. The transcript is spliced from 3 exons.
AGGAGGUGAACUCCGAGGACGCCAGGCCUGCGACGCAGACGGAACAGGAACAUUCUAACUCAGGUCACGAGGCACAGAGCCGGAGAGACCCUUGAGACCGUGCUGGGCCCUCUAGAAACUAAUGCUCUGGAGCCGCAGAAACCCCAGGAUCAGUCCGAGAGCCUGUUUUUUUUUAACACUAUAGACAACUAUACGGACUGCGCCCCGCUCCCCAGG